AAAUUGAAGAGUUUGAUCAUGGCUCAGAUUGAACGCUGGCGGCAGGCCUAACACAUGCAAGUCGAACGGUAGCACAGAGAGCUUGCUCUCGGGUGACGAGUGGCGGACGGGUGAGUAAUGUCUGGGAAACUGCCUGAUGGAGGGGGAUAACUACUGGAAACGGUAGCUAAUACCGCAUAACGUCGCAAGACCAAAGAGGGGGACCUUCGGGCCUCUUGCCAUCAGAUGUGCCCAGAUGGGAUUAGCUAGUAGGUGGGGUAACGGCUCACCUAGGCGACGAUCCCUAGCUGGUCUGAGAGGAUGACCAGCCACACUGGAACUGAGACACGGUCCAGACUCCUACGGGAGGCAGCAGUGGGGAAUAUUGCACAAUGGGCGCAAGCCUGAUGCAGCCAUGCCGCGUGUAUGAAGAAGGCCUUCGGGUUGUAAAG
RNAcentral lists this ribosomal RNA (431 nucleotides) under Enterobacter cloacae. Its description in RNAcentral is "bacterial SSU rRNA". It matches the Rfam family "Bacterial small subunit ribosomal RNA", at positions 1 to 430 of the family's 1533-position model. The record is from RNAcentral. RNAcentral also lists the same sequence under 6 other names. Lineage: Bacteria; Pseudomonadati; Pseudomonadota; Gammaproteobacteria; Enterobacterales; Enterobacteriaceae.